This 77-nucleotide transfer RNA is filed under the name Agaribacter marinus. RNAcentral describes it as "tRNA-Arg". It matches the Rfam family "tRNA". Rfam says of the family: Transfer RNA (tRNA) molecules are approximately 80 nucleotides in length. Lineage: Bacteria; Pseudomonadati; Pseudomonadota; Gammaproteobacteria; Alteromonadales; Alteromonadaceae. The record is from RNAcentral.
GCACCCUUAGCUCAGCUGGAUAGAGCGCGGCCCUCCGGAGGCCGAGGUCGCAGGUUCGACUCCUGCAGGGUGCGCCA